UUUUUUUUGAAUGUUUGAACCCAAAAUCUUAGCUGUCAAAACUAGCCCAAGAUCGAAUUAUGGCGAGAGUCAGGGACAGAAUGGAAGAUUAUAAAGAUGUUGUGCACCGCUCAAUUUGUGUUGUUGAAGCAAGGGAAGGAGGUGGACAGGGUCCUUGGUCCUAAGAAGGUUGAGCUCGAGAAGAAGGUUGAGAGGUCGUUGGUGCUAAGAGGGAUGAGCUUGAAAAUAAGGAUGAGAAGCACAGAGUUCGACCGAAAUUUGCUGUUUGAUUUUAAAUACAAGUUUGGAUGAUUGUAAUGACUAUACCUGUAGAUUAAAGCACAAAUUUGAACGAUUGUAAUGAACGUAUUUGUUGUUUUGAAUGGUGAAAAUUUGAAAUAAUUGACUAGUUUUGCCGUGG
This is a long non-coding RNA of Rhododendron vialii, 400 nucleotides long. RefSeq lists it as uncharacterized. The transcript has 2 exons. Lineage: Eukaryota; Viridiplantae; Streptophyta; Magnoliopsida; Ericales; Ericaceae. The record is from RefSeq and is a predicted model, not a curated record.